AAGGUUAAACAGUGAUGGUAGUACAUGGGUCUUGUUAUUAAUACUCCUGAAAAUGUUUCUGAUGUUUAAGCAUGAUUAUUGUUUCUAGUUUGAGAUUUGGAGACAAAAGCAAAACAAAAACACACACUGCAGGUUUUUGUUUAUACUGUGUCCAAGCACACUCUAAGAACCUUGCCCUUGUGACGAGACACUUACUCAUAUGAAUCCCGUAACUCUCAGAGUAUAGAUUGUCUGAGGUGCUGAGAUAGGUGGACUGCUGAUGAGACUCAUUCAUUUCCUCUUUUCUCAUAUAUUACACUCCAGCCAAUUUCUGAGUUCUUAUGAGAAAAUCCUAAGAAACCAAGACAUGUGCCCACAGUUUCUUCACAGAAUUGUUCUAGGAAUAAGUUUUUGCGCCCCUCCUAGAUCUAUCAGGUAGGGAUGAGGGUUUUUUUCCCCCCCAGAAGGGUUUCUCUGUGUAGCCCUGGCUGUCCUGGAACUCACUCUGUAGACCAGGCUGGCCUCGAACUCAGAAAUCUGACUGCC
RNAcentral lists this long non-coding RNA (525 nucleotides) under Mus musculus (house mouse). RNAcentral describes it as "predicted gene, 49189". The record is from RNAcentral. Lineage: Eukaryota; Metazoa; Chordata; Mammalia; Rodentia; Muridae.